UACAUAUGCUUCCACUAGAGACUUUUCAGGCCUUGCUUUAUUGCGCACAUACUUUUUUAAUGUACACAAAAAUUUAUAAAUAAAAAUAAAUUUAAAUUUUAGAAAUAUAUUUAUAUCUUAUAAUUAAUAUGAUAAAGUAUGUAUAAUUUUUUUAUCUUUUAAUAGGAUACAUCCAUCGAUAAUGUAUCGGUCUGAUCAAAAGAGCUUCCUUUGAAAGAUGAACAGCC
This 227-nucleotide long non-coding RNA is filed under the name Elaeis guineensis (African oil palm). RNAcentral's name for it is "long non-coding RNA (EGUI_LNC038021)". The record is from RNAcentral. Lineage: Eukaryota; Viridiplantae; Streptophyta; Magnoliopsida; Arecales; Arecaceae.